This 383-nucleotide ribosomal RNA is filed under the name uncultured bacterium. RNAcentral's name for it is "bacterial SSU rRNA". It matches the Rfam family "Bacterial small subunit ribosomal RNA", at positions 29 to 433 of the family's 1533-position model. The record is from RNAcentral.
AACGAACGCUGGCGGCAUGCCUAACACAUGCAAGUCGAACGGGAUCCUAGCUUGCUAGGUGAGAGUGGCGGACGGGUGAGUAACACGUGGGAAUCUGCCUUUUGGUUCGGGAUAACCGCGGAAACUGCGGCUAAUACCGAAUGCCCUCGAGAGAGGAAAGAUUUAUCGCCAGAAGAGGAGCCCGCGUCCGAUUUAGGUAGUUGGUGGGGUAAAGGCCUACCAAGCCGACGAUCGGUAGCUGGUCUGAGAGGAUGAUCAGCCACACUGGACUGAGAUACGGCCCAGACUCCUACGGGAGGCAGCAGUGGGGAAUAUUGGACAAUGGGGCAACCCUGAUCCAGCAAUGCCGCGUGAGUGAUGAAGGCCUUAGGGUUGUAAAGCUC